This 73-nucleotide transfer RNA is filed under the name Thermomonospora umbrina. RNAcentral's name for it is "Actinomadura umbrina tRNA". It matches the Rfam family "tRNA". Rfam says of the family: Transfer RNA (tRNA) molecules are approximately 80 nucleotides in length. Their secondary structure includes four short double-helical elements and three loops (D, anti-codon, and T loops). Lineage: Bacteria; Bacillati; Actinomycetota; Actinomycetes; Streptosporangiales; Thermomonosporaceae. The record is from Rfam by way of RNAcentral.
GGCUCUUUGGCUCAAUCGGUAGAGCGCGCGGUUGAAAAUCGCGAGUGACGGGGUUCGAUCCCCCGGGGAGCCA